This is a long non-coding RNA of Conger conger (European conger), 637 nucleotides long. RefSeq lists it as uncharacterized. The record is from RefSeq and is a predicted model, not a curated record. Lineage: Eukaryota; Metazoa; Chordata; Actinopteri; Anguilliformes; Congridae. The transcript has 5 exons.
GCACGGCGGGGUAGUAUUGAACUCGGGGACCCCGUUGUUCCAAGUUUUUACGCUAGAAUAAAAAGGUACGUAACACUGCCCAAGUCACAGACGCUCUCUUUGUUUGACCACAAAACAAGCUCUCUCUUCCCAAAAUGACGCGAGGAUUUAUAUGCACUUGCACAAUCGCAUUUAUAUUUCUGGUGGUGGAAUCACAUUCUACUUUGAAGGUAAUGCAUGAGAAUAAACUGAAUGCAAACAACUGGGGCCCACAGUCAAUGAUGUACCUGAAAGGAAAAUAUGGCAGAAGAUUGGCACCUGACUAUGAUUGGAAUGGUAUAUAUAAUUUAGGCUUGAAAGGCUGGUACACAGCUCUGAAAGGAUUCCAGAGGUUGAGACCUGCAGGAGUGAGGAAAGGCAGGCGAAUGCUCCAGGCUGAAAACACGCAGUAACGGUGGAUGCCUGGAGCAGAGCUCGAUCGUAACUGAAGUCUUCGUGUGCAAACGCGCUCCAGCAUCACCGAAUAUAAAGGCUGCACAAAAAAUAUUUCCAUGUGAUCUUGGACAUUUAUUCAGAGGAAUAAUGAUUUAUAUACACAAAAUAUUUUUUACUGUAUGUCACUUGUCUUUUCUCCAGUAGUGUACGCCUGUACUGCUCU